UAGGGAAUCUUCGGCAAUGGACGAAAGUCUGACCGAGCAACGCCGCGUGAGUGAAGAAGGUUUUCGGAUCGUAAAACUCUGUUGGUAGAGAAGAACGUUGGUGAGAGUGGAAAGCUCAUCAAGUGACGGUAACUACCCAGAAAGGGACGCUAACUACGUGCCAGCAGCCGCGGUAAUACGUAGGUCCCGAGCGUUGUCCGGAUUUAUUGGGCGUAAAGCGAGCGCAGGUGGUUUAUUAAGUCUGGUGUAAAAGGCAGUGGCUCAACCAUUGUAUGCAUUGGAAACUGGUAGACUUGAGUGCAGGAGAGGAGAGUGGA
RNAcentral lists this ribosomal RNA (317 nucleotides) under uncultured bacterium. Its description in RNAcentral is "partial 16S ribosomal RNA". It matches the Rfam family "Bacterial small subunit ribosomal RNA", at positions 355 to 665 of the family's 1533-position model. The record is from RNAcentral.